CAAAAGCGUUGGUGAGUCUGACA
RNAcentral lists this non-coding RNA (23 nucleotides) under Arabidopsis thaliana (thale cress). Lineage: Eukaryota; Viridiplantae; Streptophyta; Magnoliopsida; Brassicales; Brassicaceae. The record is from RNAcentral.